UACGUAGGAGGCAAGCGUUGUCCGGAAUCAUUGGGCGUAAAGCGCGUGUAGGCGGCUCGAUAAGUCUGCUGUGAAAGUUCAGGGCUCAACCCUGAAAUGCCGGUGGAAACUGUCGGGCUAGAGUCCGGAAGAGGCGAGUGGAAUUCCUGGUGUAGCGGUGAAAUGCGCAGAUAUCAGGAGGAACACCAAUGGCGAAGGCAGCUCGCUGGGACGGUACUGACGCUGAGACGCGAAAGCGUGGGGAGCAAACAGG
RNAcentral lists this ribosomal RNA (253 nucleotides) under uncultured bacterium. RNAcentral describes it as "partial 16S ribosomal RNA". It matches the Rfam family "Bacterial small subunit ribosomal RNA", at positions 524 to 776 of the family's 1533-position model. The record is from RNAcentral.